Molecule: long non-coding RNA, 2940 nt
Organism: Anguilla rostrata (American eel)
Lineage: Eukaryota; Metazoa; Chordata; Actinopteri; Anguilliformes; Anguillidae
Exons: 4
Source: RefSeq, a predicted model, not a curated record
ACUGAGAGCAACAGAAUCUCUUUUGCAGUGGUGACCAGAGGAAAUCAAUGUGGGUAUGAAUGCAAGGCACUAAUAUCCAAUCAGAUAUAAGGGAGUGAUGGUGGCUAGACAUAUAGACACAGAGUAGAGGUGUCAACAUAAGACCCCACCAGGAGUUUCAUAUGGCAGUACAAUCACCAGGACUGAGACAGAGAAUCCACAUUGGCCUGAGAUAUACAAGAAACCUGUCCAAGAGCCUGCCUGUGAAAACAGGGACGCAACUGCAGAUAAGUGGCUGUUGACACUAUGGGGCGGCAGCGUAGCAUAUUGGGAACUGGUACUGUAACCAUAAAGGUCACAGGUUCGAAUCCUAGGUAGGGCACUGUUGUAUCUUUGAGCAAAGUACGUAACCAGUGUAUAUCCAGCUAUAUAUAUGGAUGCAAUGUAAAUGCUAUGUAAAGGUUGUGUAAAUCGCUCUGGGUAAGAGUGUCUGUGAAAUGCCUGUAAUGUAAUAUAAUGCAAUGCUCGAUCACUUCUCCAGAUCAGUGUCUAGACCAUUACUGAUGCUUGACUGUAAAGGUGCAGCAGAUCGGAGUUAGUUUUCAUAAAGCAUACACGAAGCCCAAAAUGACAAUUUCGCUCAUCAGAAUAAACCAUUUUGCUUUCUUGUUCAGGACUUUCAAAAAUAGGAAACAGUGAUUUGAAUUUUCACACAUAACUAUAACAUUUGAUGAGCAUUUAAGUUUUGUUGUUUGUGGUAAUGUAUGGUGACAGGUCAUCCUUUUAGAGGGAAAUAUGAUCAAAUAUAAUGUGUAUGCAUUGCAUAGUAAAGGUGACCUAGGUAAGAAAAUAUGGUAUGGCAUGGACAGAUCAAAUACUGUAAUUCAGGUAAGGGUAUGUAGGGUAUAAAGUGAAGGCGUAUUCAGAGUCAUGUUAAUGAUUUGAGUGCCAUAAUUAAUACGCUUCUGAAUUUUGGUAGCUUUUUAAAUUAUUAUUUACCCUUUUUAUUAUUUACCCAGACAUAUACUCAUUUAAAAUAUCAUGUAUCCCAUGUCUAGCAGAAAUCUGAAAUGCGUAAACUCAACAGGAUUAAGAGAAACCUUCUAAGUUAAUACAAAGAUGUAGUUAAUUUUACCUUGGAAGGCUUACGCUUGUUUUGGAAGGCAGAGACAUACACAUGAAGCAUCAAAAUGACUUAGUACAAUACUUGCCUUCUUACGGCUUAUGUAUUUUUUCUAUAUAGUUUCAAAGGCUUGUUUUAAGAAAAAAAAAUGUUAUAUAUUAUUUUUCUGGGAUAAUGAACGCACCUCAUUGGCUUCAUACUGGCUCUAAUGUCUGUUGCAGUAAAGAAAAGUGUUUCCAUUUCAGCAAAGCAGGCAGCAUUUUAACCUAACUUCAUAACAGGAAAUAAAAACUAUCACCUCAUCUUUCUCAGGAGGUGUCAAGCUGAUUCACAGUUUAGACCCGGUAAGUAUAUCAUGUACCAGUAGAGACAUACACAUAGCACAGAAACAUAUUCGCAGUUCAUAUGAAUUACUGUGCGGUCCGUAAGUUGUCGAACAGUAACACAGUUUUUGUCCUUUUGGCUCCGUACUCCAGGACAUUGGAUUUGAAAUACAGCAGUAUAUUUCAAAUAUGAAGUUAAAUGCAGGCUGUCAGCUUUAAUUUGAGGGCAUUUACAUCUAUAUGAUCAGCAUAGGAAUUACAGCACUGACAAUUAUUGUGCUGUCCAAAUACUUUUGAACUGCACUGUAUAUUCAUAUAGCUUAACACGUACUUCAUUGUAAAACAAAGACUUUGAAGAUUCAGCUUGUGUAUCUUCAAUAAGCUGAAUACACAUCUUCAGUCUAAUCAAUUUCAUCUUCUGUUUACCCUUUAUAUAUAAUUUAAUAAAAUGAAAAUAACUACCCAUUUAACAAUAUUCUAUUGCCAGUCAGAACAUUCACUGAAUGUUAUUCAGUUUGCAAAGAAAUUGAAUUGUCAGUCAUUAUCAUUUGGUUUUAUUUAUUAAUGUUUUUACUUAACCUUAAUUUAACAAGAAAACCAUAUUGAAAUAUACAAUCUCUUUUACAAGAUUUUCAUGAUUUGAGGAUUGGUUCCAUUUCUGCACGUUACAAUUGAAGUUUCUUCAUGGAAUAAAAUGUCCUCAUUUGUAAGUACAGUAGUCAGAAAAUCUUAGGUACACACUUUUGAGAAUAGGGAGCAUUUUAUUCCUAGAACAAACUUUUAAUGUCAGACACACAGCACAGGGCAAUACAUAUAUGCAGAAAACCUUUUUAUUCUUUUAAUUCUUGCAAUGAGAGUCAUGGAAAAUGCCAAGCUCUCAGAGUGUAGGCUAUUUGCUAGUUUUGACAAAGGUAUUUAUCAAGCAGCCACCAAGUCACAAACAGACUGAAAUAUAUACAGUAAACACUGUGGGAACUUGAGGUGGAAAUGCUGCCUCUGAAAUUUUACUCACGAUAUACCUAUACCAUUCAGAAUAUGGCCUUUCCACUUGUCACUCCAGUAAGUUGAAUUUUCCAGUAAGGAAAAUUAGCCUUGCGAUGUUAGAUAAUGCUCAUUUUAUCUUGAUUUCCAUGUCCCCUCCCCCCGCCCCACCAACACCUUUCUACUCUUUCCUGUCAUCUACUGUCUAAUUUCAACACCCUUUCUCAGUUCAGCAGUCAGAACACAUCCGCCGUUGGAGAGAAACUGCCGUGAGGGAGCCUGAAAAUGUAUUGGCAACUGGCCUUACUUCUGCAGAUUCUACUGUUUUCUAGAGGUGUCCACCCCAGGGAGGAAUGUCCCAAAACAAUUGUGAACUCAUGUAGUGACUGCAUUCGAGCCGGACCCUUCUGCAUGUGGUGUAAUCAACUGAACUUCACCAAGAAGGGCGAACUGAGACGCAAUGCGCCUGUACACCGAGGCCCUGCUGAUGGAGAAAGGCUGUGACCCAGCUACAUCAUCUCUCCUAACAGCUCC